Molecule: long non-coding RNA, 5045 nt
Organism: Oncorhynchus tshawytscha (Chinook salmon)
Lineage: Eukaryota; Metazoa; Chordata; Actinopteri; Salmoniformes; Salmonidae
Source: Ensembl
GGGAAAGGAUCCCCCCUCCACACACACACACACAGACUGCUGCACUUCAUCCCUUCCACCUGCCUCCAUCGCUCCUAUUUCUCCCAGUGUCAUCACUCCACCUGUAUCUUAUUCCCUCUCACUCCAUCCAUCCAGCCAUCCUUCUUUUUUUCUCUCCAGCCCCCACGCCCUUCUAACCCACACACUCUGUGUCACCACCGUGGUCAAGAAAAUGAUCAGCCAACAAGCUGGAAGAGGUAGAGGAGAGGAAAAAGAGUGGAGAAAGAGAGGAAGAGUGAACUCUGUCCAUUUAAGAUACUCCAAACGUUCCAGUUUCCUCUAUGGAUUAUCCAGAGCCCCAUGGACGUAUGGAGGAGUGGAGGAGAAAAGAAAAAGACGAAUAGAGAAGAGAGAAAAAAGGAAUUGCACUCCGGACAGCCAGUCCGUGUGACGGGUAUAUAUAUAAAAACUCAAAUCAUUUCCUAACAACUUCUGCUUCUAAAUGUCCCUUUGGCAUUUUUCAUUUCGGUUUAAUCUCUUUCCCUCUCUUUCUCUAUCUCUUUUCCCUCCUUCCCUCUCUCCUGUCUCCAGCCCUGCAGGCUGUGUUUGGGACUCUGGCUAAUUGUGGAGUAUUCUCAGGACUCCAGCAGAGGAACGAGAGAGACCCACUCUAUCUUUCUUUCCAUUCUAAUUAAUUCCCCUCUGUGCAGACACUCAAAGAGAUUUUCUCUCCUUCCUUCGCUCUCUCUCUCUCCUUCUCUCCAUCCGGCGACUUGAGAGCAGAAUAAUUGGGAGUGGAGAUUGGCUUUUCUGUGAGCUCUCCCAAUCCUUCACACACCUGGUUGUGUGCGAGUGUGUGUGUGGAUGAGUGUGUCUCUGACUUAUCCCUAGGGGCUUUGGGUGGGGGUGUACCACACUAGUGUGAACUGGGCAUGACAGAAAAAUGAGAAAAGGAAAGAGGGAGUGAGAGAAAAAGGUAGUACAGUAGAGCACUAAUCCGGUAGAAGUAUUUCCCUGAGAAGGGGUGUGAGGGGAGAAAAGAAGGAAAGUACUGCUUUCACUUGAAGCCCAACCAGUGAUGUGGAUGGACAGAGUGAGCAAAUAAACGACAAGACAGAGAAGAGGAGAGAAGAGACGAGGAGAAAAGACAUCGGCCCCUUCACAACAUCAGCAAGUCACCCAGACUGAGAAGAAUGCACAAGACAGAAGUCAAUUGACGAACAAACAAAUUCUCAUACUGUCAGCCCCUUCAACCUCUUUGCUUUCUGGUCUGUCUCUCUCUUAGGGCAAAGUGCCAAAUACACACACACACACACACACACACACACACACACACGCACACACACACACACGCACACGCACACACACACGCACACACACACACGCACACGCACACACACACGCACACACUCACUCACACACUCACUCACACACAAAAGAACAGAAUGAGAGAAACCUGGCUUCGUCUGGGACCCUUUUUUUCAGGAUUUUUUGUUUUUAGCACCCAUUUAUUUUUUCCCUCUUUGCCCUCUUCACUCUCCUCCAUCUCUCCUCCAUCUCUUCACUCUCCUCCAUCUCUCCUCCAUCUCUUCACUCUCCUCCAUCUCUUCACUCUCCUCCAUCUCUCCUCCAUCUCUUCACUCUCCUCCAUCUCUUCACUCUCCUCCAUCUCAUCAUUCUCCUCCAUCUCUCCUCCAUCUCUUCACUCUCCUCCAUCUCUUCACUCUCCUCCAUCUCAUCAUUCUCCUCCACCUCUCCUCCAUCUCUUCACUCUCCUCCAUCUCUUCACUCUCCUCCAUCUCAUCAUUCUCCUCCACCUCUCCUCCAUCUCUUCACUCUCCUCCAUCUCUUCACUCUCCUCCAUCUCUUCUCCAUCUCUUCACUCUCCUCCAUCUCUCCUCCAUCUCUUCACUCUCCUCCAUCUCUUCACUCUCCUCCAUCUCUCCACUCUCCUCCAUCUCUCCUCUCCUCCAUCUCUCCUCAAUCUCUCCUCUCCCCCAAUCUCUCCUCUCCUCAAUCUCUCCUCUACUCCAUCUCUCCUCUCCCCCAUCUCUCCUCUAUUCCAUCUCUCCUCAAUCUCUCCUCUACUCAAUCUCUCCUCUACUCAAUCUCUCCUCUCCUCCAUCUCUCCUCUCCUCCAUCUCUCCUCUCCUCCAUCUCUCCUCUCCUCCAUCUAUCCUCUACUCCAUCUCUCCUCCAUCUCUCCUCAAUCUCUCCACUCCUCCAUCUCUCCACUCCUCCAUCUCUCCACUCCUCCAUCUCUCCACUCCUAUAUCUCUCCACUCCUAUAUCUCCCCUCAAUCUCUCCUCUACUCCAUCUCUCCUCUACUCAAUCUCUCCUCUACUCCAUCUCUUCUGUCCUCCAUCUCUUCUGUCCUCCAUCUCUUCUCUCCUCCAUCUCUCUACUCCUAUGUCUCUCCUCCAUCUCUCCUCUCCUCCAUCUCUCCAUCUCUCCACAUAGGCUAUAAGAACACCAUAUAUCUUCCAUACAACCCCUUCUCUCUCUCUCUCUCUAUCACUCUUUCCAAUCCCCCCUCCUCACACCUCCCUUCUUUUUCUCUUUGCCUGCUGCUCCCUCACUUGCCCGGUCUCAUUGUCUUCACACACAGCCGGAGUGUUUUAGUGUGAGUGUGUGUACGGCGUAACCAACCCAUUCUGCAGUGGAGCCGCGGAGCACAGGGGGAGCCUGAGUUACUACAUGUCUUAGUCAGACCACGCCCCAGUUCACCUUCACCUGUUUUUGCAGUCUGCACGGCUUCUGCCGGAGACGGAGGAAAAAGAAAAAGCAGAAAGGGGAGGAACAGGAUGAGAUGCAGGAGAAACGGAGGGAUCAGGAGACUGAGGUGUGAAGGAAGACUGGAGCGACUUCACCCUCCUCUUCAUUCUCUCAGAGACGAUUGUGACGGCAUUCUAAUUUCUACAUCCAGAUCAUUUUCUUCACGCUGUUAUGCGUCUCUCCUCCACCUGCAGCAGCUGUUCAAUCAGCAGCUUCACUGGAGUGCAUAGGUAUAGGUCAAAGCUCAAAACUAACGUUCUUUACUAUCUCCUACACCACGGAGACACACGUGCGCACACACACACGUGCACACACACACACGCAUUAAUUAAAGUCCUGUGUAGGUCUAUGAAUGCCAGUGGGGUGUAGGGACACCUAUCACCUGUUUAUGAUGAAAGUAGUGAAUGUGAUUGUGUGUGCACUGAGACUUCAUUGCAGCGGGACCACAGAGAGUUGCAGGACUGCACCUACCAGUUAAGAUAAGCAUAUGCUGCAGAAUGAAUGCCCUUUACACGCACAUGCACGCAAGCACACAUGCACGCAAACACACACACACGCAGGUCUCAUUAGCCUGUGUAAUUAUGCAUGGCACGUCCAGUUGGCCAGUGGAGAAGUAAUUAACCUUUUCCAGCAGGAAACAGCAAUCUGGACGUCUGACACACUCACAUGCACGCACACACGUCUGGUGUCACGGAAAUAAAGUGUCAAAGACAGCGGCUGGCAUUCAAUGAUAAUCCCCUCACGCAUAUUUCUGUCCAAGGCUUAAAACACUAAUAAUGCCAAAUUACCUCUCCUCUCCCUUCAUCUUCCCUCCUUUCUCUUUCUCCCUCUUCUUGUCCCCAAGUCCUUCUCUGUCUUUCUCUCUGCUUAACUCUGUCUGUCUGUCUGUCUGUCUGUCUGUCUGUCUGUCUGUCUGUCUGUCUGUCUGUCUGUCUGUCUGUCUGUCUGUCUGUCUGUCUGUCUGUCUGUCUGUCUGUCUGUCUGUCUGGCUACGAAACCUCUUUUCUCCACCACUCUCCCUGUCUCCCUCCCUGUCUCCCUCUCCUUUCUCCCCUCUCUCAAUCAAUUUGCCCACAUCCCUCUCUCUCCUGCUCUUUAUCUCUCAGUAAAACACAUGUUCUCUGGGCAGUGAGCAUGGCCUUGCCUGGCUGGCAGCACCCAUAGAUUAACACCAGCACUCUGACUCUCACUCAGGGAGCCCUCUCGCCAAGAACACAACAGCUGCUUUACAGUUGAAGGAGUAGGAUGCCUGUGUGUGUAUGUGUGUGUGUGUGUGUGUGUGUGUGUGUGUGUGUGUGUUUAUAAGAAUAGAUUAAGCGAUAGGGUUGAUUGUGUAUUUAUCCAUUCUACCAUUGAGGGAAAGUGAAAUGGGAUAACACAAAGCCAUUUCACAGACAGGAGCAGAUAUGAGUCACCAUGCUACAGAAAGACUUUUCAACCAGAAAGAGAGGGAGAGGGGGAGAGAGAGAACAGUUAAUGAGAGAGGGAUGAAAAUGGAAGAGGGAGCUAAUACUCGGCAGUCAUGCUAAUUGGCUACAUUUGCUAACUCUCUGAGGCGAGAGGAUCCCGGCAUUACAUUCGUUUAAUGCUCCCUCCAUCACGUUAAAGAAAGGAUUCGCUUGAAUAAUGAAGAGGAGCUGAAAUGAAUAACAGUUUGUUAUUAUCUGUGGGAGGGUUGUUUUUCACCUGAGUGACUAUGUGUAGACUUCUAUGGAUCAUAUCCAUGCUCACCGAGCCUUACUCAAGGACAAACAGCUAAAAAUAGAGGGGAGUACGCGACCACUAUAAUAGCAGGAGCAAAGGAAGGAAGGGAGAGGGAGAGAGAACGAGUGCUGUCAGAUUAGAUUCGGGUCAGAAAAGAUGGGAAGAGCAAGUGAGGCAGAGGGUGUUUCAUACGGAGGAGAUUAAUCACUCUCUCUCCCUUUGUCUCACUGCUGCUUUCUCUCCCUCUCUUUCUUCCUUUGUCUCUCUCUCUCGCAUUCUCUUUGUCCCUCUCUCCCUCUCUCUCUCUACUCAAUACCACACUAUUGCACACCUGCAAGAUGGGGGGGGGAAGUGGGGAGGAAGAGAGACAAUUAAACUGAUCUAUAGUGGAAUAAGGAGAAAGAGGAAACCCUCAAUUUCACUCCUCAUCACCUUCUCCUCUCUCCUCCUCUCCUCAUCACCUUCUCCUCUCUCCUCCUCUCCUCAUCACCUUCUCCUCUCUCCUCCUCUCCUCAUCACCUUCUCCUCUCUCCUCCUCUCCUCAUCACCUUCUCCUCUCUCCUCCUCUCCUCAUCACCUUCUCCUU